Molecule: transfer RNA, 72 nt
Organism: Bifidobacterium breve
Lineage: Bacteria; Bacillati; Actinomycetota; Actinomycetes; Bifidobacteriales; Bifidobacteriaceae
Rfam family: tRNA
About the family: Transfer RNA (tRNA) molecules are approximately 80 nucleotides in length. Their secondary structure includes four short double-helical elements and three loops (D, anti-codon, and T loops).
Source: Rfam
GGGCGGUUGGCGCAGUGGUAGCGCACUUCCCUGACACGGAAGGGGUCACAAGUUCGAAUCUUGUAUCGCCCA